Molecule: ribosomal RNA, 918 nt
Filed under: uncultured archaeon
Lineage: Archaea
Description: bacterial SSU rRNA
Rfam family: Archaeal small subunit ribosomal RNA
Source: RNAcentral
UUCCGGUUGAUCCUGCCAGAGGUCACUGCUAUCGGUGUUCGCCUAAGCCAUGCGAGUCAUAUGUAGCAAUACAUGGCGUACUGCUCAGUAACACGUGGAUAACCUGCCCUUGGGACCGGCAUAACCCCGGGAAACUGGGGAUAAUUCCGGAUAACGCAUAUUUGCUGGAAUGCUUUAUGCGUCAAAAGGAUUCGUCUGCCCAAGGAUGGGUCUGCGGCCUAUCAGGUAGUAGUGGGUGUAAUGUACCUACUAGCCAGCGACGGGUACGGGUUGUGAGAGCAAGAGCCCGGAGAUGGAUUCUGAGACAUGAAUCCAGGCCCUACGGGGCGCAGCAGGCGCGAAAACUUUACAAUGCGGGAAACCGUGAUAAGGGGACACCGAGUGCCAGCAUCAUAUGCUGGCUGUCCGGAUGUGUAAAAUACAUCCGUUAGCAAGGGCCGGGCAAGACCGGUGCCAGCCGCCGCGGUAACACCGGCGGCCCGAGUGGUGAUCGUGAUUAUUGGGUCUAAAGGGUCCGUAGCCGGUUUGGUCAGUCCUCCGGGAAAUCUGAUAGCUCAACUAUUAGGCUUUCGGGGGAUACUGCCAGACUUGGAACCGGGAGAGGUAAGAGGUACUACAGGGGUAGGAGUGAAAUCUUGUAAUCCCUGUGGGACCACCUGUGGCGAAGGCGUCUUACCAGAACGGGUUCGACGGUGAGGGACGAAAGCUGGGGGCACGAACCGGAUUAGAUACCCGGGUAGUCCCAGCCGUAAACGAUGCUCGCUAGGUGUCAGGCAUGGCGCGACCGUGUCUGGUGCCGCAGGGAAGCCGUGAAGCGAGCCACCUGGGAAGUACGGCCGCAAGGCUGAAACUUAAAGGAAUUGGCGGGGGAGCACAACAACGGGUGGAGCCUGCGGUUUAAUUGGAUUCAACGCCGGG